This 84-nucleotide transfer RNA is filed under the name Myxococcales bacterium. RNAcentral describes it as "tRNA-Leu". It matches the Rfam family "tRNA". From Rfam's summary of the family: Transfer RNA (tRNA) molecules are approximately 80 nucleotides in length. Their secondary structure includes four short double-helical elements and three loops (D, anti-codon, and T loops). Further hydrogen bonds mediate the characteristic L-shaped molecular structure. tRNAs have two regions of fundamental functional importance: the anti-codon, which is responsible for specific mRNA codon recognition, and the 3' end, to which the tRNAs corresponding amino acid is attached (by aminoacyl-tRNA synthetases). tRNAs cope with the degeneracy of the genetic code in two manners: having more than one tRNA (with a specific anti-codon) for a particular amino acid; and 'wobble' base-pairing, i.e. permitting non-standard base-pairing at the 3rd anti-codon position. Lineage: Bacteria; Pseudomonadati; Myxococcota; Myxococcia; Myxococcales. The record is from RNAcentral. RNAcentral also lists the same sequence under 1 other name.
GCGCAGGUGGUGUAACCGGCAGCCACACGGGUCUCAGAAACCCGGGUCCGAGAGGACGUGAGGGUUCGACCCCCUCCCUGCGUA